Molecule: long non-coding RNA, 690 nt
Organism: Ziziphus jujuba (common jujube)
Lineage: Eukaryota; Viridiplantae; Streptophyta; Magnoliopsida; Rosales; Rhamnaceae
Exons: 3
Source: RefSeq, a predicted model, not a curated record
GCAACAUCUCUCUUCUUUUUGUCUAUAUUUUUAGAAUGCAACUUAUAUCAGUUCCAUGCUAUGCCUUUAAACUAUUUUCAUCUUUUCUGUAAACUUCAUAGUUUAUAAAAUUUUAUGAAUUUAUUUCACCUACUUUGUAUAUGUCUUGGUGCAUAUGUUUGUUACAUAACCUGUACCUCACCAACCAUCUGCUUUAAUUGAUACAAAGCCCUCUCCCCCUUCUGCCUCCAAUAUAUCUAAAAAAAAAAAAAUAAAUAAAUAAAUAAACAUUUCUUAUAUCCAAUGCCAUCCUGCUUCACUUCUUGUUUUAGUUUAUGGAUAUGAGCUCCUAGCAAGCUGCUCUCCCAAAUGCGUAGUUGUCUUCAAGCCUCCUUGGUGAUGUAUCUGAACUGUGGUUUCCCCAAAGUGCGGUGGCACCUAAUAUUCCAGCUGCAGGACAAGGUGGCUUAACAUACAUGGCAGUGCGAGUACUGAGCUCCCAAAUAUCGAAUGUAUCAACACAGGGUUCUGUUGCAUCUGUUGGAGGAAAUCCUUUUGCAUGGGUUGGUGGCAAUUAUCAUUGAUAAGUUGAUUGUACAAUAUUUCUAAGUUUUUGCUAUUAGUUGGUCUCAAUCCUAUAGGCUACAGAAUCAAAAUUAUUAUGGUGCCUUUUUUUUUUUUUUCUUUUUUCUUUUUUGGUCUCAAUCAGGA